RNAcentral lists this transfer RNA (75 nucleotides) under Sneathiellales bacterium. RNAcentral's name for it is "tRNA-Thr". It matches the Rfam family "tRNA". From Rfam's summary of the family: Transfer RNA (tRNA) molecules are approximately 80 nucleotides in length. Lineage: Bacteria; Pseudomonadati; Pseudomonadota; Alphaproteobacteria; Sneathiellales. The record is from RNAcentral.
GCCGAAGUAGCUCAGGGGUAGAGCAACUGAUUCGUAAUCAGUAGGUCGGAGGUUCAAUUCCUCUCUUCGGCACCA